Molecule: long non-coding RNA, 819 nt
Organism: Apis florea (little honeybee)
Lineage: Eukaryota; Metazoa; Arthropoda; Insecta; Hymenoptera; Apidae
Source: RefSeq, a predicted model, not a curated record
AUAAUAUAUAUAUAUAUAUAUAUAUAUAUAUAUAUAUAAAGCGACGAUAUUAUUUUACAAUACGUGCACGAAACGUCGCGUCUUUUCAACGAAAGAGAGAAAGAAAGAGAGACAAAGUAGCAAUUAUUCCUUCUCGAAAUUCUAUUAUUGUGUAUUUAAGAGAAGGAAGGGACAAACUCUCUGUGUUCCGCGUCAUGCUUAGCGAUGUAUAGUCUACAGCAUGUAUGCGUUACCAGUUCUAAUUAGCUAUUCAAAUGUACAGCAAAUAUCGUGUGUUGUGUGUGUAUGCGCGCGCGCGCGCGUGUGCGUGUAUGUGAUGUCUGGAUAAAUGUUCUACGUAGGGAACGAUUCCAUGAUAGAAAAAGAAAAGAAUGAAUGGAAAUCAGAAUAAAUGAGCAAAUAUAUACGCUUGAUCAUCGCUCAUAUACGUAAUAUACCAUGGAAUAAUUCAACUGUAUUCUACUGUUUGUAGGUUUGACCUGAAUAACGCAAUACAGUCAGUUCGGCUCAUGCUUGCUUUCAUUUAUUCGACCCGGAUCAAGAUGAAAGUCUCUCGGAAACUCUUGUCUUGUUCCUGUUGUGCGGGACCCGUUUCGAGUAAUCAUCAAGAUUGCUUUCUAAUUCGUGUUUCUUUCUAAUUUCGGAAAUUCGAUUCAGAUAAAUCGGUGUUGAAGCGGAAAUGACCGUAAUUAACAAGGUGUUGGAUACCACAAUGUGUGUGUAUGUGUGUGUAUGUGUGUGGGAUACCGCACAUACCUGCAUGGGGCUGCUUUGGUUAUCAACCUUGUCGAUACCGUCCACGGACUGUUGAGGACCUCC